UACAGAGGUGGAAAGCGUUGUUCGGAAUUACUGGGCGUAAAGGGCGCGUAGGCGGCCUUGCAAGUGACGGGUGAAAUCCCUCGGCUUAACCGAGGAACUGCCUGUCAAACUGCAUGGCUUGAGACCGGGAGAGGUGAGUGGAAUUCCCAGUGUAGCGGUGAAAUGCGUAGAUAUUGGGAGGAACACCAGUGGCGAAGGCGGCUCACUGGACCGGUACUGACGCUGAGGCGCGAAAGCGUGGGUAGCAAACAGG
This 253-nucleotide ribosomal RNA is filed under the name uncultured bacterium. Its description in RNAcentral is "partial 16S ribosomal RNA". It matches the Rfam family "Bacterial small subunit ribosomal RNA", at positions 524 to 776 of the family's 1533-position model. The record is from RNAcentral.